UACAGAGGUCUCAAGCGUUGUUCGGAUUCAUUGGGCGUAAAGGGUGCGUAGGUGGCAUGGUAAGUUUGAUGUGAAAUCUCCGGGCUUAACCCGGAAAUGGCAUUGAAUACUACUGUGCUGGAGGUUUGGAGGGGGGACUGGAAUUCUCGGUGUAGCAGUGAAAUGCGUAGAUAUCGAGAGGAACACCAGUGGCGAAGGCGAGUCCCUGGACAACACCUGACACUGAGGCACGAAAGCUAGGGGAGCAAACAGG
This 253-nucleotide ribosomal RNA is filed under the name uncultured bacterium. RNAcentral's name for it is "partial 16S ribosomal RNA". It matches the Rfam family "Bacterial small subunit ribosomal RNA", at positions 524 to 776 of the family's 1533-position model. The record is from RNAcentral.